This 468-nucleotide ribosomal RNA is filed under the name uncultured bacterium. RNAcentral describes it as "partial 16S ribosomal RNA". It matches the Rfam family "Bacterial small subunit ribosomal RNA", at positions 28 to 507 of the family's 1533-position model. The record is from RNAcentral.
GACGAACGCUGGCGGCGUGCUUAACACAUGCAAGUCGAACGGAAAGGCCCUGCCUUUGUGGGCUGCUCGAGUGGCGAACGGGUGAGUAACACGUGAGUAACCUGUCCUUGACUUUGGGAUAACUUCAGGAAACUGGGGCUAAUAGCGGAUAGGAGCUCCUGCUGCAUGGUGGGGGUGGGAAAGUUUCGGUGGUUGGGGAUGGACUCGCGGACUAUCAGCUUGAUGGUGGGGUAGUGGCUUAGCAAGGCCUUGACGGGUAGCCGGGCUGGGAGGGGGACCGGCCCAAUUGGGCCGGGAAUGCGACCCGGCCUACUACGGGAGGCAGGGGUGGAGUGUGGUGUACAAUGGGCGGAGGCCUAAUGCAGCAACGCCGCGUCCGGGAUGACGGCCAGCGGGUAGUGAUCCGCUUUCGCCUGUGACGAAGCGUGAAUGACGGUAAUGGGUAAAGAAGCACCGGCUAACUACGUG